UGGGGGAUAUUGCACAAUGGGCGAAAGCCUGAUGCAGCGACGCCGCGUGGGGGAUGAAGGCCUUCGGGUUGUAAACUUCUUUUGCUCUGAACAAGGCGCACCACGGGGUGUGUUGAGUGUAGGGGUUGAUUAGCGCCGGCUAACUACGUGCCAGCAGCCGCGGUAAUACGUAGGGGGCGAGCGUUGUCCGGAAUUAUUGGGCGUAAAGGGCUUGUAGGUGGCUGGUUGCGUCUGUCGUGAAAGCUCAUGGCUUAACUGUGGGUUUGCGGUGGGUACGGGCUGGCUUGAGUGCAGUAGGGGAGGCUGGAAUUCCUGGUGUAGCGGUGGAAUGCGCAGAUAUCAGGAGGAAUACCGGUGGCGAAGGCGGGUCUCUGGGCUGUUACUGACACUGAGGAGCGAAAGCAUGGGGAGCGAAGAGG
Molecule: ribosomal RNA, 419 nt
Filed under: bacterium
Lineage: Bacteria
Description: partial 16S ribosomal RNA
Rfam family: Bacterial small subunit ribosomal RNA
Source: RNAcentral